AGGGAUUUAGCUUAGCGGCAUAAGCACCUGCCUUGUAAGCAGGUGGUCGUGAUCCCUG
This 58-nucleotide transfer RNA is filed under the name Cavia porcellus (domestic guinea pig). Lineage: Eukaryota; Metazoa; Chordata; Mammalia; Rodentia; Caviidae. The record is from Rfam by way of RNAcentral.